RNAcentral lists this transfer RNA (65 nucleotides) under Termes hospes. Its description in RNAcentral is "tRNA-Arg". Lineage: Eukaryota; Metazoa; Arthropoda; Insecta; Blattodea; Termitidae. The record is from RNAcentral.
AAGUGAGAAGCAAACCUUGCAAUCAGUUUCGACCUGAUCUUAGAUAAAAUACUUAUCCUCACUUU